Long non-coding RNA from Eriocheir sinensis (Chinese mitten crab), 234 nucleotides. RefSeq lists it as uncharacterized. NCBI's taxonomy places the organism in Eukaryota, Metazoa, Arthropoda, Malacostraca, Decapoda, Varunidae. The transcript is spliced from 2 exons. The record is from RefSeq and is a predicted model, not a curated record.
AGGAGGAGAAGGUUGGGUGUAAGAGACACUGAAAAAAGAAAAGGUUAGGUUUAAUGGACAAUGAGAAAGAAGAGAAGGUGAGGUUUAAGAGACAGCUGGGAAAGAAGAGAUAGUUAGGUCUGAGGGACAAUGGAAAAGAAGAGAAGGUGAGGUUUAAAGGAUAAGUGUUAGCUAGGAAAGGAAGAGAAGGCGGGGUUUGAGGGAGAAGAGAAGGUUAGGCUUAAGGGAGGCUGG